AAAAAGUUGUAAUAGAGUAAAGUUGUAAUAGUAAAAAGUUGUAAUAGAGUAAAGGUGUAAUAGUAAAAAGUUGUAAUAGAGUAAAGUUGUAAUAGAGUAAAGUUGUAAUAGUAAAAAGUUGUAAUAGAGUAAAGUUGUAAUAUAGUAAAGUUGUAAUACAGUAAAGUUGUAAUAGAGUAAAGUUGUAAUAGUAAAAAGUUGUAAUAGAGUAAAGUUGUAAUAGUAAAAAGUUGUAAUAGUAAAAAGUUGGAAUAGAGUAAAGUUGUAAUAUAGUAAAGUUGUAAUAGAGAAAAGUUGUAAUAGUAAAAAGUUGUAAUAAAGUAAAGUUGUAACAGAGUAAAGUUGUAAUAGAGAAAAGAUGUAAUAGUAAAAAGUUGUAAUAGAGUAAAGUUGUAAUAGAGUAAAGUUGUAAUAGAGUAAAGUUGUAAUAGUAAAAAGUUGUAAUAGAGAAAAGUUGUAAUAUAAAACAGUUGUAAUAGAGUAAAGUUGUAAUAGUAAAACGUUGUAAUAGAGUAAAGUUGGAAUAUAUUAAAGUUGUAAUAGAGUAAAGUUGUAAUCGAGAAAAGUUGUAAUAGUAAAAAGCUGUAAUAGAGUAAAGUUGUAAUAGUAAAAAGUUGUAAUAGAGUAAAGUUGUAAUAGUAAAAAGUUGUAAUAGAGUAAAGUUGUAAUAGUAAAAAGUUGUAAUAGAGUAAAGUUGUAAUAGUAAAAAGUUGUAAUAGAGUAAAGUUGUAAUAGUAAAAAGUUGUAAUAGAGUAAAGUUGUAAUAGUAAAAAGUUGUAAUAGUAAAAAGUUGUAAUAGAGUAAAGUUGUAAUAUAGUAAAGUUGUAAUACAGUAAAUUUGUAAUAGAGUAAAGUUGUAAUAGUAAAAAGUUGUAAUAGAGUAAAGUUGUAAUAGUAAAAAGUUGUAAUAGUAAAAAGUUGGAAUAG
Oncorhynchus tshawytscha (Chinook salmon) is the source of this 927-nucleotide long non-coding RNA. NCBI's taxonomy places the organism in Eukaryota, Metazoa, Chordata, Actinopteri, Salmoniformes, Salmonidae. The record is from Ensembl.